UCGUGCUAGACGGGGAGCUAGCGGUGCCCUGUACCCGCAAUCCGCUAUAGCGGGGUCGAAUUCCCACCCGAGGUGCCGUCCCCUCGGGACUGACUCACGGCAGAGGGCGUUGAUGGCUGGGUCCCGCGCAACGGUGGCCCACGAACCCCGCCAGGUCCGGAAGGAAGCAACGGUAAGUGGUAUCCAUCGGGUGCCGCGAGAUAGCCUGGCCGGAGCUUGAUGCUGUGGGUGCCGCCGGAAGGGCUGUAUCGACGGUGGGUGCACGA
Molecule: signal recognition particle RNA, 266 nt
Filed under: Armatimonadota bacterium
Lineage: Bacteria; Bacillati; Armatimonadota
Description: Armatimonadetes bacterium (hot springs metagenome) signal recognition particle sRNA large type
Rfam family: Bacterial large signal recognition particle RNA
About the family: The signal recognition particle (SRP) is a universally conserved ribonucleoprotein involved in the co-translational targeting of proteins to membranes. Archaeal SRP consists of a 7S RNA and homologues of the eukaryotic SRP19 and SRP54 proteins.
Source: RNAcentral